Molecule: ribosomal RNA, 433 nt
Filed under: uncultured bacterium
Lineage: Bacteria
Description: partial 16S ribosomal RNA
Rfam family: Bacterial small subunit ribosomal RNA
Source: RNAcentral
AACGAACGCUGGCGGCAGGCCUAACACAUGCAAGUCGAACGAAGUCUUCGGACUUAGUGGCGCACGGGUGAGUAACACGUGGGAAUAUACCUUACGCUGGGGGAUAACAUCGGGAAACUGAUGCUAAUACCGCAUACGCCCUUCGGGGGAAAGAUUUAUCGGCGAACGAUUAGCCCGCGUCCGAUUAGCUAGUUGGUGAGGUAAUGGCUCACCAAGGCUCCGAUCGGUAGCUGGUCUGAGAGGAUGACCAGCCACACUGGGACUGAGACACGGCCCAGACUCCUACGGGAGGCAGCAGUGGGGAAUAUUGGACAAUGGGCGCAAGCCUGAUCCAGCCAUGCCGCGUGAGUGAUGAAGGCCUUAGGGUUGUAAAGCUCUUUAACCCACGACGAUGAUGACGGUAGUGGGAGAAGAAGCCCCGGCUAACUUCGUG